CUUGGGCUAGCAUGUAAACUACCUAAUGUUAUGUAUGCAUUCUUUAGCGUAUGAGUGUUUCAUUUAUUUCUUUUAUUUCGGUUAGGUGGAGCAUUGGUGCCGAAGGAGAUGAACAUGGAGAGUGCUCGGACUGCUGUGAUUUGGCAGACUACCUUCACGAAUGAGGACUUAAUUGAGGCACCUGAUCCACCACCGGUCGAUCCUAGUGCCCCUGAGCCCAGCCAUCCUCACUAGGCCUGCUGCUUAUUCAUCUCGUCUUUUUCUGCCUUGCGUGGCAGCCUUUUUAUUUUCCCAACCUUAGAUACAAUUUUCAUUUACUUUGCACAGUUUUGUACAAUUUGUUUCUUUUUUCCUCUUCAAGGUUUGAUGCAAUUUUACUUUUUUCUUACUUCAUUAUUUGCUAGAUUUACAAUAUCUGAUUUUUUU
This 426-nucleotide long non-coding RNA is filed under the name Ricinus communis (castor bean). Its description in RNAcentral is "long non-coding RNA (RCOM_LNC000804)". The record is from RNAcentral. Lineage: Eukaryota; Viridiplantae; Streptophyta; Magnoliopsida; Malpighiales; Euphorbiaceae.